GCUGCGUCGGUAUCCUGCUCGGUUACGGCAAGGAAGGAGAAGGGGACGCUGCGCAGUGGGUCCCGUGCGUCAGCCAGACAAGGAGGGAAAAGGGGUGGGGCCUGCUGGUCAGCCGAAGAAGAGGGGAAGGGAUACGCACGCGCCUGGGCCUUGGCCUGGUUGGCUGGGCCGCAGGUUGGGCCGAGACGGGAGGAGAGAAAGGGGGCAGGGGGAGCUCUGGGCCACGCGUAGGGGGAAAAAGAGCAGGCCGGGGAGAGGGGCGCUGGCUGUGUUGGUUUUUUUUCUUUUCUGUUUUCUUUUCCCAAAAAGAAUUUUGAAAGCAAUUAAAUUCUAAUCAAAAGCUACAAGCAUAACAUAAGAUAUGCUACAGCAUGAAUGCAUAAUCAAGGUUGCUAAUCUUAUGAUAAAUUUUAUUUUCCACAAAAAUUAUUUAAGUGCUAAAUUUAAAUGCUCAUAAAAAAAUACUUAAUUAAAUUAAAUUAAUUCCUAUUAAUUAAAAUCAAAUUUUUGGGUGUUACAGGUAUAAACAUAGGGUUUUGCUUUUGCCGGUCUAAGUUGAGUAGAGAAGUGUUUGACCGGGUUUAGGAUAGAUAGCCGACUAUCAAGAGGGGAAAUCACGGUCAUCUCUCGAAUCAAGUGCUACUAGGUCCAUAUCUUGAGCAUAUGCAUUAGGAUCUAGUAAAGUGCUAACUUGAAUUCUUGAUAAAAAUAUUUGUGAAAAUGCUAACACACUUGCACAAGUGUUGUGACACUUUUGUGUUGGCACAUGGAAGCAAGGGAAGAAGUUGAAGAUCGUUUCGUGCAGCGCGUAUAGGCCGGACACGUCCGGUAUGAGGUCGGACGUGUCCGAGGUGAGCGUCUGGUGC
Molecule: long non-coding RNA, 866 nt
Filed under: Sorghum bicolor (sorghum)
Lineage: Eukaryota; Viridiplantae; Streptophyta; Magnoliopsida; Poales; Poaceae
Description: long non-coding RNA (SBIC_LNC002525)
Source: RNAcentral